UAAGGAUCUGCAGUUGGGCUUAAUAAAUAGGAAGUUAUUUUCUUCCUAUUUCUGUUCUUUAAAAAAGUACAAUCUUAAUUCAAUCAAAACUCCAUCCUGUCCAAUCAUAAAGUGCUCUAUAAGAUUCUCGACAUGCAUGUUAAAUAUGAGAAUUAUCACUAUGAAGCUUCUGUAUUUAAUAAGCCUGAGGGAGCUGGCAUUUUGCCAACACUUAGCUGACUGGUUGUGAUAAACUUUCACGUAACAUUAGUUUAUCAGCAAAAGACCAUGUUAUAUAAAAUAGUCCAUAAAUGACAGUUGCUAAAACAUGCCUGAGAUGGGUAUUCAAUGGUCCAUGGAAUGCACAAUGCUCUGCAGAGAACUCAUUCACACUUCUUUCAGUUGGGCCUCAUGGUAACUCACUGUCUGCUCUGAAAAGGUCACCUGGCUAACUAAGGGAGAACACUAGAUUCAAAUGCGGUUGGCCCGGCCCUGGCUUAGGGCUUUCACUUUUGCCCCACACAGCUCCCAGGCAAUGACUCUGAAGCUGAGAGGCAGAGUUCUAGUAGGAAGAGCUCUCUGCUCUCCAGGGAAUGGUCAUUAGUGUAACUGACAAGAA
Molecule: long non-coding RNA, 598 nt
Filed under: Homo sapiens (human)
Lineage: Eukaryota; Metazoa; Chordata; Mammalia; Primates; Hominidae
Description: non-protein coding lnc-DEGS2-8:1
Source: RNAcentral